RNAcentral lists this long non-coding RNA (1261 nucleotides) under Lepidothrix coronata (blue-crowned manakin). RNAcentral's name for it is "lncRNA (ENSLCOG00000002997.1)". Lineage: Eukaryota; Metazoa; Chordata; Aves; Passeriformes; Pipridae. The record is from RNAcentral.
CCCGCCCCGGACCCUCCCGGACGGCGGCGUUGAAAAGGGGAAGCCGCCGAUCCGCCCCUUCCCCCCCGGGACCUCCGAGACCCCCCCGGGACCACCGGAGUCGGUAGGAGCCGCCCCGCCCCUUCACGGGAGGGAGGGAGGGGGGAGGGGGAGGCGGUGUCGCCGUGGAAACCCCGCCCCGGCGCGCCUGGGCCUGGAGGGGUCGCGACCGGAAGUGACGUAACGGGCGGGGGGGGCCGCACGGAGGGAGGGAGUUGCCGGUAGGGGGCGCGCUGGGACCCCGAGUUAGGCCGCGCCCCCUCUUUCCAGGUCACGCCCCCCGAUCUGGCCACGCCCCCUAUUUCCCAGGAUCGUGAUUGGCCGUGGAGGACAUGGAUGGGGCGGAGCCAGCCAAUGGGGAAGCGGCGGUUAACCGAGCAGCCAAUGAGAGUGGAGACGCUGUAGAAGCAGCGGCCAAUGAGCAGCGAGCAGCUGGAGGUUCCUCCAAUAGGGAUGGAGGGAGCCUGGGGACGGCCAAUGAGGAGCUCGGGCCGGCUGGUGCAACAUCCAAUGGGAAUCUGCCGCUUCAGGGCUCGUCCAAUGAGGGGAAGGGGAGCCCUGGCUCAUCCAAUGAGCAGCCAGCCCUGGGGGACUCGGCCAAUGAGGACGGAGGAGGUCAGCAUGGCCCGGCCAAUGAGGAGGCAGAGCCACAGGACCUGACCAAUGAGGCCAAAGGGCCACAGGAGCCAGCCAAUGAGGGCGCAGAACACAAAGCCUCAGCCAAUGAGGUUGCAGCAGCAGCACAAGCCCCGCGCAACAACGAUGCAGCAGCACACGGGCCAGCCAAUGAGGAGGCAGCACCUGGAGCCGCAGCCAAUGAGGACAGCGCCCUCCCGUCACCGACCAAUGGCAGGGCAGAACCCAGGGAUCCACCCAGCGCCUGCCCCGCCCCCUCCGACCCUCCCUCCAGUCAGCACGCGGCCCCGCCGGAUCCAGCCAAUGGGCUGCAAGCCCUCCCUGCCCCGCCCACCAGGACCAGAGACCCCUGGGAUUGGUCGCUGGAGGAGGCGUGGCUUCGCGCGCCGGAGGGGGAGUGGCUUGAGGAGUUUGGGGAGGGGCCUGAGGGGCUGGAGGAGGACGAGGGGGAAGACGAGGAGGAGGAGGAGGAUGAGGAGGAGGAUGAGGAGGAGGAGGAAGGGCAGCACUGGUGGCACAGCCCCGACGGCGCCAUCUCCAAGCGGAUCCUGCGCCGGGGCCGCGGCCUCUCCCGGCCCGGCCCCGG